GACGAACGCUGGCGGCGUGCUUAACACAUGCAAGUCGAACGCUGAAGCUUGGUGCUCGCACUGGGUGGAUGAGUGGCGAACGGGUGAGUAAUACGUGAGUAACCUGCCCUUGACUCUGGGAUAAGCCUGGGAAACUGGGUCUAAUACUGGAUACGACAUGUCACCGCAUGGUGGUGUGUGGAAAGGGUUUUACUGGUUUUGGAUGGGCUCACGGCCUAUCAGCUUGUUGGUGGGGUAAUGGCUCACCAAGGCGACGACGGGUAGCCGGCCUGAGAGGGUGACCGGCCACACUGGGACUGAGACACGGCCCAGACUCCUACGGGAGGCAGCAGUGGGGAAUAUUGCACAAUGGGCGGAAGCCUGAUGCAGCGACGCCGCGUGAGGGAUGACGGCCUUCGGGUUGUAAACCUCUUUCAGCACGGAAGAAGCGAAAGUGACGGUACGUGCAGAAGAAGCGCCGGCUAACUACGUG
Molecule: ribosomal RNA, 472 nt
Filed under: uncultured bacterium
Lineage: Bacteria
Description: partial 16S ribosomal RNA
Rfam family: Bacterial small subunit ribosomal RNA
Source: RNAcentral